ACGCUCGACACCUACGGGAGGCAGCAGUGGGGAAUAUUGCACAAUGGGGGAAACCCUGAUGCAGCGACGCCGCGUGGAGGAAGAAGGUCUUCGGAUUGUAAACUCCUGUUGUUGGGAAAAGAGGAUGGUACCCAACAAGGAAGUGACGGCUAACUACGUGUCAGCAGCCGCGGUAAUCUGAGCGGGCUGGCAAGGC
RNAcentral lists this ribosomal RNA (196 nucleotides) under uncultured bacterium. RNAcentral's name for it is "partial 16S ribosomal RNA". It matches the Rfam family "Bacterial small subunit ribosomal RNA", at positions 328 to 539 of the family's 1533-position model. The record is from RNAcentral.